CAGCCGCCGCGGUAAUACGAAGGGUGCAAGCGUUAAUCGGAAUUACUGGGCGCAAAGCGUGCGUAGGCGGUUUGUUAAGUCUGUUGUGAAAUCCCCGGGCUCAACCUGGGAAUGGCAAUGGAUACUGGCAAGCUAGAGUGUGUCAGAGGAUGGUGGAAUUCCCGGUGUAGCGGUGAAAUGCGUAGAGAUCGGGAGGAACAUCAGUGGCGAAGGCGGCCAUCUGGGACAACACUGACGCUGAGGCACGAAAGCGUGGGGAGCAAACAGGAUUAGAUACCCGCGUAGUCCCUGUCUCUUAUAC
RNAcentral lists this ribosomal RNA (301 nucleotides) under uncultured bacterium. RNAcentral's name for it is "partial 16S ribosomal RNA". It matches the Rfam family "Bacterial small subunit ribosomal RNA", at positions 509 to 807 of the family's 1533-position model. The record is from RNAcentral.